Molecule: ribosomal RNA, 480 nt
Filed under: uncultured bacterium
Lineage: Bacteria
Description: bacterial SSU rRNA
Rfam family: Bacterial small subunit ribosomal RNA
Source: RNAcentral
GACGAACGCUGGCGGCGUGCCUAACACAUGCAAGUCGAACGGAACUUGUUGGAUCAAGACUUCGGUCAAGUGAAUUCAAGUUUAGUGGCGAACGGGUGGGUAACGCGUGAGCAACCUGCCUCUCAGAGGGGGACAACAGUUGGAAACGACUGCUAAUACCGCAUAAUACAUUUUAGGGGCAUCCCUUUAAUGUCAAAGAUUUAUCGCUGAAAGAUGGGCUCGCGUCUGAUUAGAUAGUUGGUGGGGUAACGGCCUACCAAGUCGACGAUCAGUAGCCGGACUGAGAGGUUGAACGGCCACAUUGGGACUGAGAUACGGCCCAGACUCCUACGGGAGGCAGCAGUGGGGAAUAUUGGGCAAUGGGGGGCAACCCUGACCCAGCAACGCCGCGUGAAGGAAGAAGGUCUUCGGAUUGUAAACCUUGUUGAUAGGGACGAACAGAUGACGGUACCUAUCGAGGAAGCCACGGCUAACUACGUG